This 499-nucleotide ribosomal RNA is filed under the name uncultured bacterium. RNAcentral's name for it is "bacterial SSU rRNA". It matches the Rfam family "Bacterial small subunit ribosomal RNA", at positions 21 to 507 of the family's 1533-position model. The record is from RNAcentral.
GGCUCAGGACGAACGCUGGCGGUGUGCUUAACACAUGCAAGUGGAGCGACGAACCAGGGCUUGCCCUGGGGCAGAGCCGCGAACGGGUGAGUAACACGUGGGUAAUCUACCCCUAUGACCGGGACAACCCGAGGAAACUCGGGCUAAUACCGGAUGUGCACGCAGCUCACGAGAGUUGCGUACAAAGGAAGCUUCGGCCUCCGCAUCGGGAGGGGCCCGCGGCCCAUUAGCUUGUUGGUGGGGUAAUGGCCUACCAAGGCUGCGAUGGGUAGCUGGUCUGAGAGGACGAUCAGCCACACUGGGACUGAGACACGGUCCAGACUCCUACGGGAGGCAGCAGUGGGGAAUUUUGGACAAUGGACGCAAGUCUGAUCCAGCCAUUCCGCGUGCAGGAUGAAGGCCCUCGGGUUGUAAACUGCUUUGUACGGAACGAAAAGGUUUCUAUUAAUACUAGGAGCUCAUGACGGUACCGUAAGAAUAAGCACCGGCUAACUACGUG